AUGCGAAAGCAGUUGAAAACAGAUUGAAAGAAUUUGGAAACAAGUUCUAGUAGGUUUGGAAGUUCGUAAAGAACAUGGCCUCGUUGAACGGUGGAGAGAGUCACUAGGUGAUCGUCAGAUCUGCUUAGUCUCUAUACAGCGCGUCAACAUGGGUGAUGGCGGCGAAGCUGUUGCGAAAGUUUGUUUGAGGUUUCUCACAGACAGACGCGAUGGAUGAGCUGCUUAGCCCGAACAGUCUUGUCUCGGACAUCUAGCGAUUCCGUGGGCAAGCAGUGAAGGAUUUGGUGGAUUACUAGCUAAUAGCAAUCUAUUUCAAAGAAUUCAAACUUGGGGGAAUGCCUCGUCGAAUAGCCGGUUGUUUAAUUACAUCUGUGAUUCGAUGAGUGUAACCUCCUCUCAAAUCAAUGAUAUUAAACUUGCUUCUGUGAAACAUCGGAUCAGUGUUUAGUGGAAGUUGAUUAGAGGAAACUCAAAGAGUGCUAUGGCAUGAUGGGCGAGUGAGAAGAAAGUGUAAAAGCUCUUUUCUUGCUUUGCUCGUUGCUUGUUCGCAAGCCAACCUUUAAAAAGUUAUCUUCAAAUGACGGUAGUUUGGUAGGACCUCUCUCGGGAGCGACUGCUUUUCUGCUGUUCAGAUUAAAGAUAGU
This is a non-coding RNA of Lachancea sp. 'fantastica', 644 nucleotides long. Lineage: Eukaryota; Fungi; Ascomycota; Saccharomycetes; Saccharomycetales; Saccharomycetaceae. The record is from the annotation of a GenBank genome assembly.